AUUGAACGCUGGCGGCAUGCUUUACACAUGCAAGUCGAACGGCAGCACGGGUGCUUGCACCUGGUGGCGAGUGGCGAACGGGUGAGUAAUGCACCGGAACGUAUCCAAUAAUGGGGAUAACGCACCGAAAGGUGUGCUAAUACCGCAUACGACCGGAGGGGGAAAGCGGGGGAUCGAAAGACUUCGCGUUAAUGGAGCGGCCGAUGUCGGAUUAGCUAGUUGGUGAGGUAAAGGCUCACCAAGGCGACGAUCCGUAGCUGGUCUGAGAGGACGACCAGCCACACUGGGACUGAGACACGGCCCAGACUCCUACGGGAGGCAGCAGUGGGGAAUUUUGGACAAUGGGCGAAAGCCUGAUCCAGCCAUGCCGCGUGAGUGAAGAAGGCCUUCGGGUUGUAAAGCUCUUUCGCAAGGAAAGAAAACUUAUCCACUAAUACUGGGUGAGGAUGACGGUACCUUGAUAAGAAGCACCGGCUAACUACGUGCCAGCAGCCGCGGUAA
This 501-nucleotide ribosomal RNA is filed under the name uncultured bacterium. RNAcentral's name for it is "partial 16S ribosomal RNA". It matches the Rfam family "Bacterial small subunit ribosomal RNA", at positions 29 to 523 of the family's 1533-position model. The record is from RNAcentral.